This 162-nucleotide ribosomal RNA is filed under the name Taiwania flousiana. Its description in RNAcentral is "5.8S ribosomal RNA". It matches the Rfam family "5.8S ribosomal RNA". Rfam says of the family: 5.8S ribosomal RNA (5.8S rRNA) is a component of the large subunit of the eukaryotic ribosome. It is transcribed by RNA polymerase I as part of the 45S precursor that also contains 18S and 28S rRNA. Functionally, it is thought that 5.8S rRNA may be involved in ribosome translocation. The record is from RNAcentral. Lineage: Eukaryota; Viridiplantae; Streptophyta; Pinopsida; Cupressales; Cupressaceae.
AACACGACUCUCGGCAACGGAUAUCUCGGCUCUCGCCACGAUGAAGAAUGUAGCGAAAUGCGAUACUUAGUGUGAAUUGCAGAAUCCCGUGAAUCAUCGAGUCUUUGAACGCAAGUUGCGCCCGAGGCUCCGGCCGAGGGCACGUCUGCUUGGGCGUCGCAC